ACGCUCGACACCUACGGAAGGCAGCAGUGGGGAAUAUUGGGCAAUGGGGGAAACCCUGACCCAGCAACGCCGCGUGGAGGAAGAAGGUCUUCGGAUUGUAAACUCCUGUCCUUAGGGAAGAAACAAAUGACGGUACCUGAGGAGGAAGCUCCGGCUAACUACGUGCCAGCAGCCACGGUAAUCUGAGCGGGCUGGCAAGGC
This 201-nucleotide ribosomal RNA is filed under the name uncultured bacterium. RNAcentral describes it as "partial 16S ribosomal RNA". It matches the Rfam family "Bacterial small subunit ribosomal RNA", at positions 326 to 539 of the family's 1533-position model. The record is from RNAcentral.